RNAcentral lists this ribosomal RNA (2774 nucleotides) under Escherichia coli. Its description in RNAcentral is "bacterial LSU rRNA". It matches the Rfam family "Bacterial large subunit ribosomal RNA". Lineage: Bacteria; Pseudomonadati; Pseudomonadota; Gammaproteobacteria; Enterobacterales; Enterobacteriaceae. RNAcentral also lists the same sequence under 1 other name. The record is from RNAcentral.
AGCGUACACGGUGGAUGCCCUGGCAGUCAGAGGCGAUGAAGGACGUGCUAAUCUGCGAUAAGCGUCGGUAAGGUGAUAUGAACCGUUAUAACCGGCGAUUUCCGAAUGGGGAAACCCAGUGUGAUUCGUCACACUAUCAUUAACUGAAUCCAUAGGUUAAUGAGGCGAACCGGGGGAACUGAAACAUCUAAGUACCCCGAGGAAAAGAAAUCAACCGAGAUUCCCCCAGUAGCGGCGAGCGAACGGGGAGCAGCCCAGAGCCUGAAUCAGUGUGUGUGUUAGUGGAAGCGUCUGGAAAGGCGCGCGAUACAGGGUGACAGCCCCGUACACAAAAAUGCACAUACUGUGAGCUCGAUGAGUAGGGCGGGACACGUGGUAUCCUGUCUGAAUAUGGGGGGACCAUCCUCCAAGGCUAAAUACUCCUGACUGACCGAUAGUGAACCAGUACCGUGAGGGAAAGGCGAAAAGAACCCCGGCGAGGGGAGUGAAAAAGAACCUGAAACCGUGUACGUACAAGCAGUGGGAGCACAGAGCAAUCUGUGUGACUGCGUACCUUUUGUAUAAUGGGUCAGCGACUUAUAUUCUGUAGCAAGGUUAACCGAAUAGGGGAGCCGAAGGGAAACCGAGUCUUAACCGGGCGUUAAGUUGCAGGGUAUAGACCCGAAACCCGGUGAUCUAGCCAUGGGCAGGUUGAAGGUUGGGUAACACUAACUGGAGGACCGAACCGACUAAUGUUGAAAAAUUAGCGGAUGACUUGUGGCUGGGGGUGAAAGGCCAAUCAAACCGGGAGAUAGCUGGUUCUCCCCGAAAGCUAUUUAGGUAGCGCCUCGUGAAUUCAUCUCCGGGGGUAGAGCACUGUUUCGGCAAGGGGGUCAUCCCGACUUACCAACCCGAUGCAAACUGCGAAUACCGGAGAAUGUUAUCACGGGAGACACACGGCGGGUGCUAACGUCCGUCGUGAAGAGGGAAACAACCCAGACCGCCAGCUAAGGUCCCAAAGUCAUGGUUAAGUGGGAAACGAUGUGGGAAGGCCCAGACAGCCAGGAUGUUGGCUUAGAAGCAGCCAUCAUUUAAAGAAAGCGUAAUAGCUCACUGGUCGAGUCGGCCUGCGCGGAAGAUGUAACGGGGCUAAACCAUGCACCGAAGCUGCGGCAGCGACACUGUGUGUUGUUGGGUAGGGGAGCGUUCUGUAAGCCUGUGAAGGUGUGCUGUGAGGCAUGCUGGAGGUAUCAGAAGUGCGAAUGCUGACAUAAGUAACGAUAAAGCGGGUGAAAAGCCCGCUCGCCGGAAGACCAAGGGUUCCUGUCCAACGUUAAUCGGGGCAGGGUGAGUCGACCCCUAAGGCGAGGCCGAAAGGCGUAGUCGAUGGGAAACAGGUUAAUAUUCCUGUACUUGGUGUUACUGCGAAGGGGGGACGGAGAAGGCUAUGUUGGCCGGGCGACGGUUGUCCCGGUUUAAGCGUGUAGGCUGGUUUUCCAGGCAAAUCCGGAAAAUCAAGGCUGAGGCGUGAUGACGAGGCACUACGGUGCUGAAGCAACAAAUGCCCUGCUUCCAGGAAAAGCCUCUAAGCAUCAGGUAACAUCAAAUCGUACCCCAAACCGACACAGGUGGUCAGGUAGAGAAUACCAAGGCGCUUGAGAGAACUCGGGUGAAGGAACUAGGCAAAAUGGUGCCGUAACUUCGGGAGAAGGCACGCUGAUAUGUAGGUGAAGUCCCUCGCGGAUGGAGCUGAAAUCAGUCGAAGAUACCAGCUGGCUGCAACUGUUUAUUAAAAACACAGCACUGUGCAAACACGAAAGUGGACGUAUACGGUGUGACGCCUGCCCGGUGCCGGAAGGUUAAUUGAUGGGGUCAGCGCAAGCGAAGCUCUUGAUCGAAGCCCCGGUAAACGGCGGCCGUAACUAUAACGGUCCUAAGGUAGCGAAAUUCCUUGUCGGGUAAGUUCCGACCUGCACGAAUGGCGUAAUGAUGGCCAGGCUGUCUCCACCCGAGACUCAGUGAAAUUGAACUCGCUGUGAAGAUGCAGUGUACCCGCGGCAAGACGGAAAGACCCCGUGAACCUUUACUAUAGCUUGACACUGAACAUUGAGCCUUGAUGUGUAGGAUAGGUGGGAGGCUUUGAAGUGUGGACGCCAGUCUGCAUGGAGCCGACCUUGAAAUACCACCCUUUAAUGUUUGAUGUUCUAACGUGGACCCGUGAUCCGGGUUGCGGACAGUGUCUGGUGGGUAGUUUGACUGGGGCGGUCUCCUCCUAAAGAGUAACGGAGGAGCACGAAGGUUGGCUAAUCCUGGUCGGACAUCAGGAGGUUAGUGCAAUGGCAUAAGCCAGCUUGACUGCGAGCGUGACGGCGCGAGCAGGUGCGAAAGCAGGUCAUAGUGAUCCGGUGGUUCUGAAUGGAAGGGCCAUCGCUCAACGGAUAAAAGGUACUCCGGGGAUAACAGGCUGAUACCGCCCAAGAGUUCAUAUCGACGGCGGUGUUUGGCACCUCGAUGUCGGCUCAUCACAUCCUGGGGCUGAAGUAGGUCCCAAGGGUAUGGCUGUUCGCCAUUUAAAGUGGUACGCGAGCUGGGUUUAGAACGUCGUGAGACAGUUCGGUCCCUAUCUGCCGUGGGCGCUGGAGAACUGAGGGGGGCUGCUCCUAGUACGAGAGGACCGGAGUGGACGCAUCACUGGUGUUCGGGUUGUCAUGCCAAUGGCACUGCCCGGUAGCUAAAUGCGGAAGAGAUAAGUGCUGAAAGCAUCUAAGCACGAAACUUGCCCCGAGAUGAGUUCU